Molecule: ribosomal RNA, 254 nt
Filed under: uncultured bacterium
Lineage: Bacteria
Description: partial 16S ribosomal RNA
Rfam family: Bacterial small subunit ribosomal RNA
Source: RNAcentral
GACGAACUGUGCAAACGUUUAUUCGGAAUCACUGGGCUUAAAGGGUGCGUAGGCGGUCUUGUAAGUAGGGUGUGAAAGCCCCCGGCUCAACCGGGGAACUGCGUCCUAAACUGCGAGGCUAGAGUGAGGUAGGGGUGUGUGGAACUUCCGGUGUAGCGGUGAAAUGCGUAGAUAUCGGAAGGAACACCAGUGGCGAAGGCGGCUUUCUGGGCUCAUACUGACGCUGAGGCGCGAAAGCGUGGGGAGCAAACAGG